This 2441-nucleotide ribosomal RNA is filed under the name Escherichia coli. RNAcentral describes it as "partial 23S ribosomal RNA". It matches the Rfam family "Bacterial large subunit ribosomal RNA", at positions 165 to 2630 of the family's 2925-position model. The record is from RNAcentral. Lineage: Bacteria; Pseudomonadati; Pseudomonadota; Gammaproteobacteria; Enterobacterales; Enterobacteriaceae.
CAUAGGUUAAUGAGGCGAACCGGGGGAACUGAAACAUCUAAGUACCCCGAGGAAAAGAAAUCAACCGAGAUUCCCCCAGUAGCGGCGAGCGAACGGGGAGCAGCCCAGAGCCUGAAUCAGUAUGUGUGUUAGUGGAAGCGUCUGGAAAGGCGCGCGAUACAGGGUGACAGCCCCGUACACAAAAAUGCACAUGCUGUGAGCUCGAUGAGUAGGGCGGGACACGUGGUAUCCUGUCUGAAUAUGGGGGGACCAUCCUCCAAGGCUAAAUACUCCUGACUGACCGAUAGUGAACCAGUACCGUGAGGGAAAGGCGAAAAGAACCCCGGCGAGGGGAGUGAAAAAGAACCUGAAACCGUGUACGUACAAGCAGUGGGAGCACGCUUAGGCGUGUGACUGCGUACCUUUUGUAUAAUGGGUCAGCGACUUAUAUUCUGUAGCAAGGUUAACCGAAUAGGGGAGCCGAAGGGAAACCGAGUCUUAACUGGGCGUUAAGUUGCAGGGUAUAGACCCGAAACCCGGUGAUCUAGCCAUGGGCAGGUUGAAGGUUGGGUAACACUAACUGGAGGACCGAACCGACUAAUGUUGAAAAAUUAGCGGAUGACUUGUGGCUGGGGGUGAAAGGCCAAUCAAACCGGGAGAUAGCUGGUUCUCCCCGAAAGCUAUUUAGGUAGCGCCUCGUGAAUUCAUCUCCGGGGGUAGAGCACUGUUUCGGCAAGGGGGUCAUCCCGACUUACCAACCCGAUGCAAACUGCGAAUACCGGAGAAUGUUAUCACGGGAGACACACGGCGGGUGCUAACGUCCGUCGUGAAGAGGGAAACAACCCAGACCGCCAGCUAAGGUCCCAAAGUCAUGGUUAAGUGGGAAACGAUGUGGGAAGGCCCAGACAGCCAGGAUGUUGGCUUAGAAGCAGCCAUCAUUUAAAGAAAGCGUAAUAGCUCACUGGUCGAGUCGGCCUGCGCGGAAGAUGUAACGGGGCUAAACCAUGCACCGAAGCUGCGGCAGCGACGCUGAUGCGUUGUUGGGUAGGGGAGCGUUCUGUAAGCCUGCGAAGGUGUGCUGUGAGGCAUGCUGGAGGUAUCAGAAGUGCGAAUGCUGACAUAAGUAACGAUAAAGCGGGUGAAAAGCCCGCUCGCCGGAAGACCAAGGGUUCCUGUCCAACGUUAAUCGGGGCAGGGUGAGUCGACCCCUAAGGCGAGGCCGAAAGGCGUAGUCGAUGGGAAACAGGUUAAUAUUCCUGUACUUGGUGUUACUGCGAAGGGGGGACGGAGAAGGCUAUGUUGGCCGGGCGACGGUUGUCCCGGUUUAAGCGUGUAGGCUGGUUUUCCAGGCAAAUCCGGAAAAUCAAGGCUGAGGCGUGAUGACGAGGCACUACGGUGCUGAAGCAACAAAUGCCCUGCUUCCAGGAAAAGCCUCUAAGCAUCAGGUAACAUCAAAUCGUACCCCAAACCGACACAGGUGGUCAGGUAGAGAAUACCAAGGCGCUUGAGAGAACUCGGGUGAAGGAACUAGGCAAAAUGGUGCCGUAACUUCGGGAGAAGGCACGCUGAUAUGUAGGUGAAGUCCCUCGCGGAUGGAGCUGAAAUCAGUCGAAGAUACCAGCUGGCUGCAACUGUUUAUUAAAAACACAGCACUGUGCAAACACGAAAGUGGACGUAUACGGUGUGACGCCUGCCCGGUGCCGGAAGGUUAAUUGAUGGGGUUAGCGCAAGCGAAGCUCUUGAUCGAAGCCCCGGUAAACGGCGGCCGUAACUAUAACGGUCCUAAGGUAGCGAAAUUCCUUGUCGGGUAAGUUCCGACCUGCACGAAUGGCGUAAUGAUGGCCAGGCUGUCUCCACCCGAGACUCAGUGAAAUUGAACUCGCUGUGAAGAUGCAGUGUACCCGCGGCAAGACGGAAAGACCCCGUGAACCUUUACUAUAGCUUGACACUGAACAUUGAGCCUUGAUGUGUAGGAUAGGUGGGAGGCUUUGAAGUGUGGACGCCAGUCUGCAUGGAGCCGACCUUGAAAUACCACCCUUUAAUGUUUGAUGUUCUAACGUUGACCCGUAAUCCGGGUUGCGGACAGUGUCUGGUGGGUAGUUUGACUGGGGCGGUCUCCUCCUAAAGAGUAACGGAGGAGCACGAAGGUUGGCUAAUCCUGGUCGGACAUCAGGAGGUUAGUGCAAUGGCAUAAGCCAGCUUGACUGCGAGCGUGACGGCGCGAGCAGGUGCGAAAGCAGGUCAUAGUGAUCCGGUGGUUCUGAAUGGAAGGGCCAUCGCUCAACGGAUAAAAGGUACUCCGGGGAUAACAGGCUGAUACCGCCCAAGAGUUCAUAUCGACGGCGGUGUUUGGCACCUCGAUGUCGGCUCAUCACAUCCUGGGGCUGAAGUAGGUCCCAAGGGUAUGGCUGUUCGCCAUUUAAAGUGGUACGCGAGCUGGGUUUAGAACGUCGUGAGACAGU